Leopardus geoffroyi (Geoffroy's cat) is the source of this 1316-nucleotide long non-coding RNA. RefSeq lists it as uncharacterized. The transcript has 3 exons. The record is from RefSeq and is a predicted model, not a curated record. NCBI's taxonomy places the organism in Eukaryota, Metazoa, Chordata, Mammalia, Carnivora, Felidae.
CCCCGCCCCUGCGCGCGGCUCGCCUCCAGCCGCGGGGUGCCGGCGGGCUACGCUGCGCCCUUCGGCGCCCACCCCGGCGGGGGCCCGGGCGGGGGUGUGUGUCCUCCAGGAGCUGCGGGGACCCCUGCGGCCGGACCUUGCGACCCGUUUUCCAAUCCCGCGGUGGCGACGGCGACAGCAAUGGUAAUAGUAUCGCCAGGAGAAAACAGAGGCCUCCCCAGCCACACUGGAAGGUACCAGCCAUUGCUGUCGCUCUCGGGAACUGCUACACCAGCCUCCUUCCUGGUGUCCUGUGCCUGCCCCUUCCCACUGCCAUCAGCAGCCAGAGGGGUCCUGUUAAAAGCAAGGCAGCUACACACCGCCCCCCCCGCCCCGCACAGAACCUGCAAUGGCCUCCCCACCAUGCUUAGUCCACAACCCGACCAGAUACGAUCCAGCAACUCUAUUUCUGGGUCGGCACCCACAAGAAUUGAACGCAGGGACCCAAACAGAUAUUUGCACCCUAAGUUGAUAGCAUCAUUAUUCCCGAGAGCCAAGCAAUGGAAGCCAUCCAAGUGUCUGCCCACUGAUGAAUAAAGCAAAUGUGGCUUCUGCAUACGAUGGAAAAUGACUCAGCCUUAAAAACGAAAGAAAUUUUGACACAGGCUACAAACUCUGAGCCUUGAAGAUGCUGUGCUAAAUGAGAUAAGGCAGUCAAGGGCCGAUAUGGUAUCUGAAAGUUUCAUUGGAUUCAGGUUAAUAAAGAUGCUUUCUGAAGAGGAUGCUGCUGACAAGGACAGUGUUAAGAGGAUCUGUUUUCCACAUAGACCUUCCACCCAGCUCUCUCCUAGAUAUUCAAGCAAGAGAAAUGAAAAUGGAUGUCCACACAAAGACUUGUACUUGGAGGGGCAUUAUUCAUAAUGUCCCCAAACUGGAUAUUUGGGACAAGCCAAAUAUCAACAGGUGAACGGGAAACAAUUUGCAAUACAUCCAUAUGGUGAUUACCGCUCAGCAAUGAAAAGGAGCUACACCUUAGAUCCGUCUCAGAAUCACCGUGCUGAGUAAAAGAAACCAGAUGCGAAGGGCCACCUGCUGUAUACGGUGACUGAAAGCAGACCACUAACUGCCUGGAACCUAGGAAAGGCGGAAUUGACUGGAAGGUUGCAGCAGGAGGGAACAUUCCAGAAUGAUGGACAUUUCCUUCCUGUAUCUCGAAUAUGGUGGGGAUGAUACAGGCAUAUAUGUCAGAACUCAUCACAGUGGCUACUUUAAAUGGGUGUGUUGUAUUGCAUUCAAUUAUAUCCCGGUGGGGUUUCAAGCAAAAGAGAAUCUGUGUA